CGAGGUCUUUUAGGAGCUUGCUCCUGGCUGAUCUAGUGGCGGACGGGUGAGUAACACGUGAGCAACCUGCCGAGGAGUGGGGGAUAACGUUUGGAAACGAACGCUAAUACCGCAUAACGUAUGGGGAUGGCAUCAUCUCCAUACCAAAGGAGUAAUCCGCUUUUUGAUGGGCUCGCGCCUGAUUAGAUAGUUGGUGGGGUAAUGGCCUACCAAGUCUGCGAUCAGUAGCCGGACUGAGAGGUUGAACGGCCACAUUGGGACUGAGACACGGCCCAGACUCCUACGGGAGGCAGCAGUGGGGGAUAUUGCACAAUGGGGGAAACCCUGAUGCAGCGACGCCGCGUGAGUGAAGACGGCCUUCGGGUUGUAAAGCUCUGUGGACAGGGACGAUAAUGACGGUACCUGUCUAGAAAGCCACGGCUAACUACGUGCCAGCAGCCGCGGUAAUACGUAGGUGGCAAGCGUUGUCCGGAAUUACUGGGUGUAAAGGGAGCGCAGGCGGGGACUUAAGUUGGAUGUGAAAUGCCACGGCUUAACCGUGAGCUGCAUCCAAAACUGGGACUCUUGAGUGAAGUAGAGGUAGGCGGAAUUCCUAGUGUAGCGGUGAAAUGCGUAGAUAUUAGGAGGAACACCAGUGGCGAAGGCGGCCUACUGGGCUUUAACUGACGCUGA
This 672-nucleotide ribosomal RNA is filed under the name uncultured bacterium. RNAcentral describes it as "bacterial SSU rRNA". It matches the Rfam family "Bacterial small subunit ribosomal RNA", at positions 63 to 749 of the family's 1533-position model. The record is from RNAcentral.